Long non-coding RNA from Paramacrobiotus metropolitanus, 335 nucleotides. RefSeq lists it as uncharacterized. Lineage: Eukaryota; Metazoa; Tardigrada; Eutardigrada; Parachela; Macrobiotidae. The transcript has 3 exons. The record is from RefSeq and is a predicted model, not a curated record.
GCCAGACCGGGAAGAUACGAGAAUUGGAACAACUGCUGGUGUGGGGUGCUACCAAUGCUUCUUUUCCUCCACCUAACGAGCCGCUAUGUGGAUAUCUCAAGCAACUCCCGCCGUGUAUGCCUGGUGAUAAUCGAUUUACAUACAUUCUGUCGAUCAGUUUAGUUUGUUCGUUCGGGGCCCUCACUAUUUUGGGAUGCGCAGUGUACAUCAAACGCAAAGCAGACAAUCAGUUGCUCCGUGACCCAUGGUGGCAAGUGUAUCUGCAAGCACCAGAUUACAGAGUAGUAUCCCGGCACUCGAUAUCAGUUUCACGAGCAGUAUCUCGGCACUCGAUU